This 471-nucleotide ribosomal RNA is filed under the name uncultured Bacteroides sp. Its description in RNAcentral is "bacterial SSU rRNA". It matches the Rfam family "Bacterial small subunit ribosomal RNA", at positions 28 to 488 of the family's 1533-position model. The record is from RNAcentral. Lineage: Bacteria; Pseudomonadati; Bacteroidota; Bacteroidia; Bacteroidales; Bacteroidaceae.
GAUGAACGCUAGCUACAGGCUUAACACAUGCAAGUCGAGGGGCAGCAUGGUCUUAGCUUGCUAAGGCCGAUGGCGACCGGCGCACGGGUGAGUAACACGUAUCCAACCUGCCGUCUACUCUUGGACAGCCUUCUGAAAGGAAGAUUAAUACAAGAUGGCAUCAUGAGUCCACAUGUUCACAUGAUUAAAGGUAUUCCGGUAGACGAUGGGGAUGCGUUCCAUUAGAUAGUAGGCGGGGUAACGGCCCACCUAGUCUUCGAUGGAUAGGGGUUCUGAGAGGAAGGUCCCCCACAUUGGAACUGAGACACGGUCCAAACUCCUACGGGAGGCAGCAGUGAGGAAUAUUGGUCAAUGGGCGAGAGCCUGAACCAGCCAAGUAGCGUGAAGGAUGACUGCCCUAUGGGUUGUAAACUUCUUUUAUAAAGGAAUAAAGUCGGGUAUGGAUACCCGUUUGCAUGUACUUUAUGAAUA